This 389-nucleotide ribosomal RNA is filed under the name Engaewa similis. RNAcentral describes it as "partial 12S ribosomal RNA". Lineage: Eukaryota; Metazoa; Arthropoda; Malacostraca; Decapoda; Parastacidae. The record is from RNAcentral.
GAUUAGAUACCCUAUUUUACUUGGAGGUAAUAAAGAGAGCUUGAAUAUUAAUAGAUAUAUUCUUGAAAUUUAUAGAAUUUGGCGGUAUUUUAGUCUAGUUAGAGGAACCUGUUUCGUAAUCGAUACUACACGUAAUAUUUUACUGAUUUUUUGUUAUAGGGGUUUGUAUACCGCUAUUAUUAGAUAAUUUUUAUAGAGUAAACUAUUGGAGUUAGAAUAUCUAAGGAUAUUAGGUCAAGGUGCAGCUUAUGAAUUAGUGAGAAUGGGUUACAAUAGAAUUUAUUUAUGACGGAUUCUUGUUGGAAGAGAUAAUGAUGAAGGGGGAUUUAAUUGUAAUGAGAAAAGUUAAUAAGUUUUGAUGAUAUAAGUACUAAAUUAAGUACAUAUCG